This 1266-nucleotide ribosomal RNA is filed under the name Salmonella enterica. RNAcentral describes it as "partial 23S ribosomal RNA". It matches the Rfam family "Bacterial large subunit ribosomal RNA", at positions 1200 to 2449 of the family's 2925-position model. Lineage: Bacteria; Pseudomonadati; Pseudomonadota; Gammaproteobacteria; Enterobacterales; Enterobacteriaceae. The record is from RNAcentral.
CUGCGGCAGCGACGCUGAUGCGUUGUUGGGUAGGGGAGCGUUCUGUAAGCCUGCGAAGGUGGCCUGUGAGGGUUGCUGGAGGUAUCAGAAGUGCGAAUGCUGACAUAAGUAACGAUAAAGCGGGUGAAAAGCCCGCUCGCCGGAAGACCAAGGGUUCCUGUCCAACGUUAAUCGGGGCAGGGUGAGUCGACCCCUAAGGCGAGGCCGAAAGGCGUAGUCGAUGGGAAACGGGUUAAUAUUCCCGUACUUGGUGUUACUGCGAAGGGGGGACGGAGAAGGCUAUGUUGGCCGGGCGACGGUUGUCCCGGUUUAAGCGUGUAGGCUGGUUUUCCAGGCAAAUCCGGAAAAUCAAGGCUGAGGCGUGAUGACGAGGCACUACGGUGCUGAAGCAACAAAUGCCCUGCUUCCAGGAAAAGCCUCUAAGCAUCAGGUAACAUCAAAUCGUACCCCAAACCGACACAGGUGGUCAGGUAGAGAAUACCAAGGCGCUUGAGAGAACUCGGGUGAAGGAACUAGGCAAAAUGGUGCCGUAACUUCGGGAGAAGGCACGCUGACACGUAGGUGAAGUGAUUUACUCAUGGAGCUGAAGUCAGUCGAAGAUACCAGCUGGCUGCAACUGUUUAUUAAAAACACAGCACUGUGCAAACACGAAAGUGGACGUAUACGGUGUGACGCCUGCCCGGUGCCGGAAGGUUAAUUGAUGGGGUCAGCGCAAGCGAAGCUCCUGAUCGAAGCCCCGGUAAACGGCGGCCGUAACUAUAACGGUCCUAAGGUAGCGAAAUUCCUUGUCGGGUAAGUUCCGACCUGCACGAAUGGCGUAAUGAUGGCCAGGCUGUCUCCACCCGAGACUCAGUGAAAUUGAACUCGCUGUGAAGAUGCAGUGUACCCGCGGCAAGACGGAAAGACCCCGUGAACCUUUACUAUAGCUUGACACUGAACAUUGAGCCUUGAUGUGUAGGAUAGGUGGGAGGCUUUGAAGUGUGGACGCCAGUCUGCAUGGAGCCGACCUUGAAAUACCACCCUUUAAUGUUUGAUGUUCUAACGUGGACCCGUUACCCGGGUUGCGGACAGUGUCUGGUGGGUAGUUUGACUGGGGCGGUCUCCUCCUAAAGAGUAACGGAGGAGCACGAAGGUUGGCUAAUCCUGGUCGGACAUCAGGAGGUUAGUGCAAUGGCAUAAGCCAGCUUGACUGCGAGCGUGACGGCGCGAGCAGGUGCGAAAGCAGGUCAUAGUGAUCCGGUGGUUCUGAAUGGAAGGGCCAUCGCU